This 590-nucleotide ribosomal RNA is filed under the name uncultured Burkholderia sp. RNAcentral's name for it is "bacterial SSU rRNA". It matches the Rfam family "Bacterial small subunit ribosomal RNA", at positions 418 to 1003 of the family's 1533-position model. The record is from RNAcentral. Lineage: Bacteria; Pseudomonadati; Pseudomonadota; Betaproteobacteria; Burkholderiales; Burkholderiaceae.
UCGGGUUGUAAAGCACUUUUGUCCGGAAAGAAAACGUUCUGGUUAAUACCUGGAGCGGAUGACGGUACCGGAAGAAUAAGCACCGGCUAACUACGUGCCAGCAGCGCGGUAAUCGUAGGGUGCGAGCGUUAAUCGGAAUUACUGGGCGUAAAGGGUGCGCAGGCGGUUUGCUAAGACCGAUGUGAAAUCCCCGGGCUUAACCUGGGAACUGCAUUGGUGACUGGCAGGCUAGAGUAUGGCAGAGGGGGGUAGAAUUCCACGUGUAGCAGUGAAAUGCGUAGAGAUGUGGAGGAAUACCGAUGGCGAAGGCAGCCCCCUGGGCCAAUACUGACGCUCAUGCACGAAAGCGUGGGGAGCAAACAGGAUUAGAUACCCUGGUAGUCCACGCCCUAAACGAUGUCAACUAGUUGUCGGGUCUUCAUUGACUUGGUAACGAAGCUAACGCGUGAAGUUGACCGCCUGGGGAGUACGGUCGCAAGAUUAAAACUCAAAGGAAUUGACGGGGACCCGCACAAGCGGUGGAUGAUGUGGAUUAAUUCGAUGCAACGCGAAAAACCUUACCUACCCUUGACAUGUACGGAACCUUGCCG